UGCGCCUGUGGCGGAUCAGGCACGGAUUUAAGGAAUAAAGGCUUCGCAGGCAGCCGGUCCGUGUACGGUCUUGUACUUCCAAGUAUUUACUUGGAUUUAAGGAUUUCU
This 108-nucleotide small RNA is filed under the name uncultured Saccharofermentans sp. RNAcentral describes it as "RT-5 RNA". It matches the Rfam family "RT-5 RNA". From Rfam's summary of the family: Clostridium (Firmicutes). Lineage: Bacteria; Bacillati; Bacillota; Clostridia; Eubacteriales; Oscillospiraceae. The record is from RNAcentral.